Triplophysa rosa is the source of this 4585-nucleotide long non-coding RNA. RefSeq lists it as uncharacterized. The transcript is spliced from 5 exons. NCBI's taxonomy places the organism in Eukaryota, Metazoa, Chordata, Actinopteri, Cypriniformes, Nemacheilidae. The record is from RefSeq and is a predicted model, not a curated record.
GAGUUUUUGAUUGACAGCUCCCUGACAAGGAAGUCGAUACUGAAGACAGUACAGUGCAACGAAUCUUAGAGAACGAUCUGCAUGCUGUUAUCUUUAUUGUUUGUACUUAAAACUACUUUCUUAUUUAGUUAGUAUAUUAGUAAUUGGUAUUUGAAGUUGGUAAAUCAUGCGCGGUGUGGAUCCAAGCGUCCUCCUCAUCCUCAGGUAAAUGAAUGUAAUUCAGAUAAUAAAGAAAAUCGCUAAAAGUUGUAUUCCUGUACAGUAGCAAUUCUGUCUUUACUUAGCUCGUUCAUUGUGUGCUUUAUACUUUCUGUCAGGUAUUAUUUUAUAGACUGUAAGAUUAUUUUCUUAAAAAGGAACGAACAACUUGCAAUAUAACAUCCAAUAAAGACAUGUUACAGAUUAUUGGGUUGUGAGAAAAACGUGCUAAAUGAAAACAUUGCUGCAUAGUUACUGUACAGACAUUAAAACUUUUAGCGAUUUUAUUAUCUCGGUUACAUAAAUGUACCUGAGGGUGACGAUGUCGCUCUUGCAAACAGUCUCCUUUUAAAGAAUUAAGUCCACUUAUAAGUCAAGUACUGUAUCUUUCUUUUUAAACUCAUGGUGAAUGUACAGUAUUAUACCCCUUUCUUUACAUUCACAGAAAGUACACCUCAUAAAACAAUACCAAUACAUUCAAAUGACAUUUAUGUUUUUUAAACGCUACAACAAAACAAAUUCAUAAGGUGACAAAAUUAGAGGCCUUAAGAAUGAUUUAUUAAUUUAGUCUGCCUCUUGCAAACAUCAAUUUCAUUAUGUAUUUACACACCUACAUAAAACAGGUUAAAGAAAAGCAGAAGAGAGACUUCUUAAACUAUAAACAAGCAUUUAAAGAUAGAAACAUAGACUGCUGUCUUGACGGCCUCUAAACCCACGUAAAGUUGCAUGUGAAUAUGGCUAGUGAUGAGUAUAUUUCAACAUGUUACAGUUUUCAUUAUUUUUAUUAUUCAUUUAUUCUUUACAUAUAGGUUAUAGUUUGAUAAAUAAUGUACGGAACAAUACGUUUUUGUGAAAAUCAUGUGAGGUGCGUCUGGCGCAUCACCCAUGUGAUAACCAAAAUAGAUUAUGUUUGCAGAGAAUUAGGAACUAAAACCAGCGCAGACUGAAACUGAUGCUUACCAAGGCUUACAAGAAAUCAGCUGAUUUCUUAAGAAGAGACCGCCUCGAAAACUGAACUUGUUUGUGUCUGUUUAUAAAUACUGGGUUGAGGGAGAGACGAGCAGUGCAGAGUUCCUGACAUAAGACUCGAGUAGUUUUGUGUAACUAGGGACAGACGAACCCAGAGCUCUGUAUGCUUUAUUCAUGUGGUGUUUGAUUUAAUAAAUCUUUUGAAGAGAAUUUCUACUCUCCUGAGUUAUUGAACACGCGGACUUGAGGAUUGCUUUGCCAAGUCCAACACUAGCUAUCCUGUCUUUACUCGACGUUGGCUUGUUGUUACGGCGUGAUAGAGCCUGGAAGCGUGUCCUUCUUUUAAGUGCGUGAAAGUUGGCAACCCUGCUAAUAUACUAACAAAAUAAGAAAGUAAUUUAAGUACAAACACUAAAACAAUACUAUACAGAAAACCGCAAACAGAUCGCUCUCUAAUCCGCUGCACUGUGUUCAGUUUCGACUUCCUGGUCAGGGAGCUGUCAAUCCAAAUCUCACUAACCAAUGAGAGUAAAGUGGCCAUAAAUCCCGCCCACACGUGAGAUUUGUGCCAGAAAGGCGAACGAAAAAUUGAGAAGCAUAAACGAAAACUCGGAAAGCGCAAAUGAAAAAUCUAGCAGCGAAUUCAAAACUAUUAUUUGCAAAAACGAAACUUAGAAAAUUGUUAAGAAAUCAUGUCACAUUCUUACAACUGAGUUUAUUGUUUUCAUUAUCAAAGUGUUUUUUUUCUUUCUCAUUGUAUAUUUUUGUUCGUUUUUUAAAAGUUUGCGUUCAUUCUUAUUGGCACAAAAGGAAUCCCAUAGUAGACUCCCAUUUACUCAUAUUAGACAUAUUUAGCUUUUUAACCCCCUCAAUAAGAGUCGUCACCUGUUGGCAAAAUCUCUAAUUUUUAAAGAAUAAAGGUUAUGCUGCUUGUUAAAAUUCUUCAUGGGAUUUCUAUCACCCUGAAUCUUUCACUUUUCCCCCACAGGGCUAAAGAUUUGUACACUGAUGUCAGUGAUGAAGAAUUGGACAACAUUGUUGCAGAAAUACAAAGAAAUCGCCCAAACGCUGGGUACAGGAUUACACAUGGUCAUCUUCGAACUCAAGGACUCCGUAUUCAGACUUUAAGGGUGCGCGAGUCAGUACAAAGAGUUGAUCCAGUGGCAACUCAAAUGAGAGCCCUAUCAAUAUCCACACGUCAUCGCCGUCAAUACUCAGUCCCAGGACCAAAUGCAAUGUGGCAUAUUGAUGGAAACCACAAGUUAAUAAGGUGGAGGUUUGUUAUUCAUGGAGGUGUGGACGGCUUUAGCCGCUUAAUUGUUUACUUUAGUGCUGCGACAAACAACCGGGCUUCAACGGUUCUUGACAGUUUUAUUGGAGCAGCUGAGAGAUUUGGAAUCCCAUCUUGAGUACGCUCAGACAAGGGCUUGGAGAACAUUGAAGUGGCACACUUUAUGGUAGCACGCAGGGGAGAGAACCACACUUCCCACAUAACUGGAAGGAGCGUCCACAACCAAAGGAUCGAAAGGUUAUGAAGGGACGUCUAUGAACAGGUCCUAGACAAGUUUUACUGCUUGUUCUAUGGAAUGGAGUCUGAGGGUUUACUGGAUCCAGAUAAUGAGGUCCACCUGUAUGCACUACACUGGAUUUUCCUACCUCAGUUGCAAAGACAUCUAACACUGUUCCAGGAUGCAUGGAAUAACCACAAAUUAAGAACCACAGGCAGCCAAUCCCCUCUACAGUUGUGGACAACCUUCCAGAAUGAUGAUGAUCCAGACCAGGUGGAUGGAGAAUUUGGAAUAGACUGGGAUGGACCAUCAUGCAGUGUUGAAAUAGAAGGAGUAGCAGUCCCACAAGCACAACUACAGAGAGAACGUCUUGGCUACGGAUGUAACCUCAGUUCCCUGAUGGAGGGAACGAGACAUGGACGUUCCAGGGGUCUGCCUGGGAUGCCGUUACGUGCCCUUCCCCUGUGACAGAAGGUCCUCUGUCAGGGGAAUCGGCCAGGGGGGAGUUGUUGUCAGAAGCACCAGCUCUGAGAACCAAGUCCGGUUGGGCCAGUAGGGCGCAACUAGCACCACUUCAUGCUCCUCUUCCCUGACGUUGCACAGGGUCUGUGCAAUGCGGCUGACUGGGGGGAAGGCGUACUUCCGCUUCCGCUAGAGAUUGAAGUCUCGAAGUCGAUCAGUGUGAAGGCUCCGAAGAACAAAAGGUGAAUGAAUGCAGCACGCCGUCUCCCUUUUAUACCCGGAUAUCCGGGGGCGGAGUCCGGCAUGCAAAUUUCAUUCGCCAAUUUCAUUGGCCUUUUCUAAACUAGUCAGAAGUUGAUAGGUUCUCAAGAGCGAACCCCAUCUGUCGGCUCGACACAACGUCGACAGAAAGGGAACUGACUGCUGCAGAGAUUGACACUUUGCCCAAUCCAGGGGUUGUUUUUACAGAAACAGUAGACACUUAUUGUGAAACACUACACCAGCUAUCUCAUUUAUUGGUAUAGACAAACUUCUCCCCAAAAUAAACAUUCACAAUGAAUAAUGUAAUGGACUAACACACAACGUUAUUCAUAGAACUCAUACAUUCUUCUACACUGCAAAAUAUGACAUUCUUACUAAGUGUUUUUGUCUUGUUUUGUAGUACAAAUAUCUAAACAUUAUUAAACCAAGAUGCACUUUCUUGACAAGAAAAGUGACCUAAGAUAUUUAGUCUCUUUUUAAAGAGAAAAAAACAAGAAUUAAGUAAGUUUAUGAUAAAAACAAACAAAUAAAAUCUGCCAAUGGGGUGAGAAAAAUAAACUUGAAUUAGGUAUUUGAGAAAAAGGUCAAAUUUAAUUCAAGUUUAUUUUUCUCCCCCCUUUGGCAGGUUUUUUGCUUGUUUUUACCAUAAACUUAAUUCUUAUAUUCUUUUUCAUGAAACAAGACUAAAUAUCUUAGGUCACUUUUCUUGUCAAGUAAUUGUAUAUUGAUUUAAGAAGUUUUAGAUAUUUGUACUACAAAACAAGACCAAAACACUUAGUAAGAAUGUUUGCAGUGUAGGAACUAACAUCUAUAGUUGCUGGAUUGACUGAUUUUGUUUCGUUGUUUAACUUUAACAACAUCUGUAAUUACUGGAUUACUAGAAAAAUAAAACAAUGCUUUCUGAAAGAAUUAGGUGUAUUUUUGAUUAACAAUAACAGUCGUCAAUUCUACAACAAUUUAAAAAUGACUUCAAACUAAACCAAAUCCAAAAGUGUUGCUGGACACAGCUGCUUUCAGAUCAGAGCUGAAUUCAACGUAAUCAUUGUAAUGUAAGGGGAGUUUAAUAGUCUCCCUGCAUGUUAAAGCAGUUGGCAUUCUGACGUCAGAUGACACUUCCACAUACAGUUCUUGUGGUAGGCUUGUCCAUCCAACCCAAAACUUUACAAGGUUUUUUAGGUCUUGUGGUG